AGAACACGACCGGCGCACGGGUGAGUAACGCGUAUGCAACCUACCUUUGGCACGGGGACAGCCCGGGGAAACCCGGAUUAAUACCCGGUAUAGUCUGUUAUACACCUGUAUAAAAGACGAGAGCUACGGCGGCCAAAGAUGGGCAUGCGUGCCAUUAGUUAGUUGGUAGGGUAACGGCCUACCAAGGCAUCGAUGGCUACGGGGUCUAAAAGGAUGAGCCCGCACACUGGUACUGAGACACGGACCAGACUCCUACGGGAGGCAGCAGUGAGGAAUAUUGGUCAAUGGGUGGAAGCCUGAACCAGCCAUGCCGCGUGCAGGAAGACGGCCUUAUGGGUUGUAAACUGCUUUUCUACGGGACGAACGGCUCUGACGCGUCAGGGAUUGACGGUACCGUAGGAAUAAGCAUCGGCUAACUCCGUGCCAGCAGCCGCGGUAAUACGGAGGAUGCGAGCGUUAUCCGGAUUUAUUAGGUUUAAAGGGUGCGUAGGCUGGGCCAAUAAGUCAGUGGUUGAAAGUCCGCGGCUCAAACCGUGGGAUUGCCAUUGAAACUGUCGUUCUUGA
RNAcentral lists this ribosomal RNA (564 nucleotides) under uncultured organism. Its description in RNAcentral is "bacterial SSU rRNA". It matches the Rfam family "Bacterial small subunit ribosomal RNA", at positions 86 to 645 of the family's 1533-position model. The record is from RNAcentral.